Molecule: ribosomal RNA, 253 nt
Filed under: uncultured bacterium
Lineage: Bacteria
Description: partial 16S ribosomal RNA
Rfam family: Bacterial small subunit ribosomal RNA
Source: RNAcentral
UACGUAGGGGGCAAGCGUUAUCCGGAUUUACUGGGUGUAAAGGGGGCGCAGACGGCAGCGCAAGCCAGGAGUGAAAGCCCGGGGCCCAACCCCGGGACUGCUCUUGGAACUGCGCGGCUGGAGUGCAGGAGGGGCAGGCGGAAUUCCUGGUGUAGCGGUGAAAUGCGUAGAUAUCAGGAGGAACACCGGUGGCGAAGGCGGCCUGCUGGACUGCGACUGACGUUGAGGCCCGAAAGCGUGGGGAGCAAACAGG